AGAUUAAACUGAAGAGUUUGAUCCUGGCUCAGAUUGAACGCUGGCGGCAUGCCUUACACAUGCAAGUCGAACGGCAGCACGGAGCUUGCUCUGGUGGCGAGUGGCGAACGGGUG
RNAcentral lists this ribosomal RNA (114 nucleotides) under Janthinobacterium lividum. RNAcentral describes it as "partial 16S ribosomal RNA". It matches the Rfam family "Bacterial small subunit ribosomal RNA", at positions 1 to 108 of the family's 1533-position model. Lineage: Bacteria; Pseudomonadati; Pseudomonadota; Betaproteobacteria; Burkholderiales; Oxalobacteraceae. The record is from RNAcentral. RNAcentral also lists the same sequence under 3 other names.